RNAcentral lists this unclassified non-coding RNA (247 nucleotides) under uncultured fungus. RNAcentral describes it as "sequence contains ITS1, 5.8S rRNA gene". The stretch from base 199 to 247 matches the Rfam family "5.8S ribosomal RNA", at positions 1 to 49 of the family's 154-position model. Lineage: Eukaryota; Fungi. The record is from RNAcentral.
UCUCCGUUGGUGAACCAGCGGAGGGAUCAUUAUAGAGUUUUCUAAACUCCCAACCCAUGUGAACUUACCUUUGUUGCCUCGGCGGGGCCUACCCGGUACCGACCCCUUUUGGGCGAAGUUACCCUGUAACGGCUGCCGGUGGACUACCAAACUCUUGUUAUUUUAUUGUAAUCUGAGCGUCUUAUUUUAAUAAGUCAAAACUUUCAACAACGGAUCUCUUGGUUCUGGCAUCGAUGAAGAACGCAGC